This 371-nucleotide ribosomal RNA is filed under the name uncultured Barnesiella sp. Its description in RNAcentral is "bacterial SSU rRNA". It matches the Rfam family "Bacterial small subunit ribosomal RNA", at positions 355 to 723 of the family's 1533-position model. The record is from RNAcentral. Lineage: Bacteria; Pseudomonadati; Bacteroidota; Bacteroidia; Bacteroidales; Barnesiellaceae.
UGAGGAAUAUUGGGUCAAUGGGCGCAAGCCUGAACCAGCCAAGUCGCGUGAAGGAAGACGGUCCUAUGGGUUGUAAACUUCUUUAGGGUGGGAACAAAGGACGCCACGCGUGGCGAGAUGAGUGUACCACCAGAAUAAGCAUCGGCUAACUCCGUGCCAGCAGCCGCGGUAAUACGGAGGAUGCGAGCGUUAUCCGGAUUUAUUGGGUUUAAAGGGUGCGUAGGCGGUUUGUCAAGUCAGCGGUCAAACUGCGGGGCUUAACCUCGUAUUGCCGUUGAAACUGGCUGACUAGCGUGGCGUCGAGGUGUGCGGAAUGCGUUGUGUAGCGGUGAAAUGCAUAGAUAUGACGCAGCACUCCGAUUGCGAAGGCG